Molecule: non-coding RNA, 176 nt
Organism: Notechis scutatus (mainland tiger snake)
Lineage: Eukaryota; Metazoa; Chordata; Lepidosauria; Squamata; Elapidae
Source: RefSeq, a predicted model, not a curated record
CGGGCCACGUUCCGUACUUCCACCCCUCCCGGGGGUGGGGCAGAGAGGCGCUUGUUCGGGCGGGGCAGCCGAGAGUUCUCCGAGGCGAGAUGGCGGAGUCGGCAACCCCCGCCGCUGCCGCCGUCCACCAGUGGAGCGAAGCUUCUUCCGCCGCCGAAGCAGUAUCAGAAAACACU